This 426-nucleotide ribosomal RNA is filed under the name uncultured bacterium. Its description in RNAcentral is "partial 16S ribosomal RNA". It matches the Rfam family "Bacterial small subunit ribosomal RNA", at positions 354 to 796 of the family's 1533-position model. The record is from RNAcentral.
GUGAGGAAUUUUCCGCAAUGGGCGAAAGCCUGACGGAGCAAUGCUGCGUGAAGGAUGAAGGCCUAUGGGUUGUAAACUUCUUUUCUCAGAAAAGAAUUAUGACGGUAUCUGAGGAAUAAGCAUCGGCUAACUCUGUGCCAGCAGCCGCGGUAAGACAGAGGAUGCAAGCGUUAUCCGGAAUGAUUGGGCGUAAAGCGUCUGUAGGUUGUUUAAAAAGUAUUCUGUCAAAGAUUAGGGCUUAACCCUAGAUAGGCAGAAUAAACUUUUAAGCUAGAGUUUGGUAGAGGCAGAGGGAAUUCCCGGUGGAGCGGUGAAAUGCGUAGAUAUCGGGAGGAACACCAAAGGCGAAGGCACUCUGCUGGGCCAAUACUAACACUGAGAGACGAAAGCGAGGGGAGCAAAUGGGAUUAGAAACCCCGGUAGUCC